UUUAUAUCAAUCAAAUUAAGUCCAAACAUGUAAUGCUCUUUCCAGCUGAACAUUGUAAUAGUGUAUGUUACAGACAGAUGGCAGUGUUGCUGUAUUAUUAAACACGACAGUCGACGAUAUCUCUGACUUGGAGGCUGUUUAACCCUGGGAUACUGAGGGACCUUUUGCCCAUCAGCUGCUGCAUCUGAACAUCUGUGGCCUGAGUUCUGGCCCUCCUCAGCAUCAUCUGGUGACUUUGUGAAGCAGCCACGCAGCAGGAGGGCUCUGAUCCACUGGUGACGGCAAACUGUGCAUCAAACACACAGUUUAGCUCUGACCUCUUCACGCUGGUGUCACAGGAUCAGUCCGGAGGGGUUUGGAUGUCGGAUUAGCCAGGCUGAUCAUGUCUGGUGCUUUGCUGAGCUACAUGUGGAGGAAAGAGAGCAUUGUGUAGAAUAUUUUAUUUUUCUGCCGAGAAAGCCAGAAGGUCAAUAUCUCAUGUCUUUGAAGAUAUGGAGAUGGAGUUGGUGUUUUUCUGGAUUUGGCAAAGUUGUUGAUAUCAGCACUUCAGAGACCAUUAAGAGGAAAGCACUGACAGAAGCAGUUGGACCAGAGAGGCUCUCCGUUUAUUCGUGUGUCCGUGAUAAGAAGAAUGGAGCCGUGUUGUUUUGCUGUAUAUCAGUAUACAUGGAUGAUGAGGCUUGUGUUAUAUGAGUGAUAUCAAAUGACGGCCCUUCAUCUGUCCACAGCCCUCCCACCUGAACCCCAAGGGGAGCUGUAUGUGGAAAGGAGGGUGUCCAAAGAGGGAGGGGGCAGGUCAUUGGAUCUUUAGAUAAUCAGUAUGGGCUAAUGACCCCUCCAGAGAGAUUGUGUCUAAUCCACUGAGCCUUUGGGAACACUUCUCUCUACCCCUUACCAUCGCUACUGAAUACUGAAAGUGCGGUGUGCACAUGUGGUGAAGUGGGGGGUGACUACAUUCAGAAACAAUUCACAUGUCUUUACUGGAAGCUAGGGAUGCAACAACGCUGUCUGGACUGCAAAUGAACAACAACUAGUGUGGCUACUUUAGCUAUAGAAAGCAAUUAACAAAAAAACACAUUCUAUUAUAGUCAAUGUUUUGUUUACAUUUAUGCAUUUUGGGGCACCUUUAUGGGUCAGUGACAAAAAUGCAUGCAUCAGGUUUAUUUCAAUGCACAGUGUAUUUAUGUUAAUUAUAUGCAUUCAAAAAUUAAAUUUGCACCAUUUUUAUGAAAGUUCAGACUGAAUGGACCUGAAAAUGUAAAAUGGUGUAACUGCCAAUUGUGCCAAAGAAUGAGAAAUAUUACAUAUUUUAUCCACCUUGAUGGCAUGUAAGCGUAAUCAUAAAUAAAACAUUUUAAAUUA
Long non-coding RNA from Misgurnus anguillicaudatus (oriental weatherfish), 1362 nucleotides. RefSeq lists it as uncharacterized. Lineage: Eukaryota; Metazoa; Chordata; Actinopteri; Cypriniformes; Cobitidae. The record is from RefSeq and is a predicted model, not a curated record.